CUGCAACAAACCCCAGUUUAAGAGCGAGGCAAAGCAAUUCAUGUGCAUGCAUCCGUUUAAAAGUUGCAUUCAAUUUAACAAGGUUGUGCUUAUGUUGUAUAAAAUUGCUUAAAGGAUCAUUAGAUAGACUGCUAAUUUUCUCUGCAGUCAUUCGCUCACUGGAUUAUACUAGAUAUCUAACAAACUAUAGUUAAAGAAGUUGGUCAAAUUAUGGAGUAAAAAAAUCAGACUAUAGUCACGGUUUCCACGGGUGAUUGAAAAUGUCUUAUAUUCCUUAAUGUAAAAAUAAGGCCUUGAAACGUCUUAAAUUCAUGUUUCAUAGGUCUUUAAAAACAACAGGAAAUGCCACUCCACCACAACUUCAUCUCUUUCUGUGCUGUUUGUUAUUUUUCCCGUCCUCUGUUUUGGAUUCCCAGCCAUGAAAACAUGCCACAGUUGCUGACCCACACUUCACCAUGGACUAUGAGCCCUAACGGAAACGAUGGCAGGAAGUGUGGAUGUGUGACUCUUUUCGUGGUCUUUCCCUGGAAAGGACUGACUGAUUUGGGGAUGCUGUAUAAGGGAGGAAACUCCUGUUUUUUUCCCCCCUUCCCUGGUUACAUAUUUUCCUCUCGCUCUCUGUGUCUCUCUGUGAGGCGUUCUUAGAUUCAUUCUGUUGAACUCACCCUCGUUCUCUCUCUCUCUCUCUCCCCCCCACCAUGCUGCAAACCCCCCAUUUUAUCCCAGAUCUCUACCCAAAGGCGUGUGGCCGGUUUUGUGUCACCCCCUACCCCCCUCGUGCCGGGCUCUUGUAGUCCAUGAAAUCUGACCUCAAUGUUUAGUUCUUUAGGUGAUCUUUUAAUUUUACAGUAAUUAAAUGCAGUUUAAGGUGCACAUGGAGUUUAUGUAAAAGAAUGGCAUAAAGGACAAAAGAUAUCAGUUAUUAUAUAGAAGCCAUGGUGAGAAUGCUGAAGAUAAAAUUAUACCCAUAAGAAUAAAAACUGCAUGCUGUGAAGAGCUUUUGGGGGCAAAAAGGGGUAUGAUCUGAUCUGUACAGGCAAAUGUAUCGAUGCCUGCUCAGUGCAGGAAGGUUUGGUUAGUUUGUUUGUUUUGUUUGUUUUGUUUUACACUAGGCUUUUGUUUUGUUCAAUUUUUUUUCCAAUAAAUAUUUUUUAAUUAUUAUUUAUAUAAAACAUCUCCCAACCAAAC
Molecule: long non-coding RNA, 1188 nt
Organism: Ictalurus punctatus (channel catfish)
Lineage: Eukaryota; Metazoa; Chordata; Actinopteri; Siluriformes; Ictaluridae
Source: Ensembl